Transfer RNA from Camelus ferus (Wild Bactrian camel), 72 nucleotides. It matches the Rfam family "tRNA". From Rfam's summary of the family: Transfer RNA (tRNA) molecules are approximately 80 nucleotides in length. The record is from Rfam. Lineage: Eukaryota; Metazoa; Chordata; Mammalia; Artiodactyla; Camelidae.
GUGGGGAUAGCUCAGUGCUAGAGCACGUGUUUAGCAUACACAAAGUCCUGGGUUCAAUCCCCAGUACCUCCA